UACGUAGGGGGCAAGCGUUGUUCGGAAUUAUUGGGCGUAAAGCGCGCGCAGGUGGUUUCUUAAGUCUGAUGUGAAAGCCCACGGCUCAACCGUGGAGGGUCAUUGGAAACUGGGGAACUUGAGUGCAGAAGAGGAAAGUGGAAUUCCAAGUGUAGCGGUGAAAUGCGUAGAGAUUUGGAGGAACACCAGUGGCGAAGGCGACUUUCUGGUCUGUAACUGACACUGAGGCGCGAAAGCGUGGGGAGCGAACAGG
Molecule: ribosomal RNA, 253 nt
Filed under: uncultured bacterium
Lineage: Bacteria
Description: partial 16S ribosomal RNA
Rfam family: Bacterial small subunit ribosomal RNA
Source: RNAcentral